GACGUUGUGGCAGAGUGGUUAUUGCGUAUGACUAGAAAUCAUAUUCCUUCGGGAGCAGAGGUUCGAAUCCUCUCAACGUCG
Molecule: transfer RNA, 81 nt
Filed under: Lasallia pustulata
Lineage: Eukaryota; Fungi; Ascomycota; Lecanoromycetes; Umbilicariales; Umbilicariaceae
Description: Umbilicaria pustulata tRNA-Ser
Rfam family: tRNA
About the family: Transfer RNA (tRNA) molecules are approximately 80 nucleotides in length.
Source: RNAcentral